RNAcentral lists this long non-coding RNA (1127 nucleotides) under Gadus morhua (Atlantic cod). RNAcentral's name for it is "lncRNA (ENSGMOG00000030304.1)". The record is from RNAcentral. Lineage: Eukaryota; Metazoa; Chordata; Actinopteri; Gadiformes; Gadidae.
AUGGAACACGUGCACGCCCUCCUACCGAGGAUCUCGGCGUCACAGCAGGCCUUUGUGCUAAUGGAGUGGCUCUGCAACACUUACUUAAGUCGGGGGUUCCUGGGAGACCCGGACUUCAGUGAGAACCAACAGAGGAGUCCCGUGGACAUGCACCUGUACUCUGAGACGGUCGUAUGCGUCCACAAAAUCCUCCGGACCACACUGGAGGAGGAUGUCGAGAUGUCCCUGGAUGUCAUCAUUAAGCGCCACAAAUCAGAGUUUUGGAGGUCCUGGGAACUACACACAGACGUCAUUGAGUGCAUUGAAGGACCAAUUGUCAGAGCGGAGUCCGUCAGUGAGAACGUGCAGGAGUUCACCCGGCAGGUCUGCUUCCUCAAACUCCAGGAGUUUCUAGAGAGGUAUGUCGCCCUUUUCUUGCUGACGAUUGGUGUUUCCAUGGUACAAUUGUGGCUUUGCAAGAUGCUAAAAGCCACAAUGAUGGCGAAAGCCAGGUUUGCAGUCAGGUUCUUUGGCUGUCAAGAGGCCUAAAUGAGUCCUCCUUCUGGCUGUAGGUUCACGACGGCCAAACAGGAACUUCUGAAAAGAUACGACAAAUCUCCCAAGAUGACCGUGGAGACCUCCCUCAAGACACUCAACACACUCCAAGGCCUUGUGUGAGUAAAGGCCCAUGCCUCAUGCUACAUGCUAGAGCUUUCUGCUCAAAGCUCGAGGGAUCAAACCUUGAGCAUUCCAGCCCAUUUCUGAUAUGUGUUCCGCUUAAGCAUGUCUGAUGUUAGCAUUUCUGAAGCAUGUGAGCAUGUCUGGUAUUGUAUUGUAUGCAUGUUUUGUAUCUACAGUAUAAUAGAUACAAUAUACAUCAAAAAAAUAUAUAGUAGGAAUUAGAAAGUGUCACAGUAUGUCAAUAAUAGGCCCUUGUUCUGCAGGAGCUACAUCCAACCCUCCACUGAUGGAGGAACCCGGGACCUCCCAGCGGAGGAGACCCUGCGCGCACUGAGGGCAUUGGAGACCGACGCCAGGACCUCCAUGGGAGAGGCUCUCGUUACGAUCAUCAAGGUGCAGAGAAGAACCGCUACUGUUGUAGUGUUGUUAGCCAGAAGUUUACGUCCUCAACUAAUACCGUGCUGACC